RNAcentral lists this long non-coding RNA (541 nucleotides) under Brachypodium distachyon (stiff brome). RNAcentral describes it as "long non-coding RNA (BDIS_LNC002580)". Lineage: Eukaryota; Viridiplantae; Streptophyta; Magnoliopsida; Poales; Poaceae. The record is from RNAcentral.
UUGCGUGUUGCCACUGUCGCGACGUUGAUUGCAUGGACUGGUGAGCCCAUUUCUGGAAGCUUUUGGAGGAGACUGUCUGGAUACAACUUCAUCAACUGGGAAAAUUCUUAUGUUAGCUGGGGAGGGGAAUGGUACAAACAAGGAACUAGAAACACCAAGGUGAAUUGUCCAUAAGCGACAGGGGAGUGAUUGGGAUCGACCUGGCAGAAAAGUCCAGUAAACGGGAGAGUUUUCCUAGCGUUCGAGGGAGCACCGCGUGUGCAGCUGGCCGGCCAGCAACUGGACACCACAGCAUUGUUGGUCGAUCCUAGCACUACACGUCGAUAAGCUCUGUUGAUUCUAUCAUAAAGCUAGUUAAGCUGCUAGUACAGUAGUACUACUCAGAAGAGAUAAUCUUUUGUGUUAAAGCGGUGGUUUGAUAAGUCGGCGCACGCCAGUCUUAAAACGGGCAAGUGGGCUUUAGAAUUUUCAUGGGUGCGCUGGACGUUUAAACAACAGGGAGCGAUAAAUCUGGUCAGAUUUGUUGCCACGCGACCCAGCG